UCGGAACGCGAAAAACGACGACGAUGACGGCGGCGGCCAAGGCGAAGUACGCGCGAGCGAACGCGAUCGUCAGACGGAUCGGCGACAUGAUUGGCCCCGGCGGUUACGGUCCAGUCGGACGACGGUCGGCCGACACGGCCGCUGCGGAAAUCAUGACGUUUGUUGGACACCGGUUGGGCACCGCCGCAGAUCCGUCCGAUAUUGCUCCUCGUCCAACCGAAAUCGGGUUUUUUUUUUUUUUUUUUAUAUAAAUAUAUAUAUGCUUAAUAACAAGACGUCCGUCUGUUUCCCGUCGCAGAUCGGGAGAAGAUCGCGCGAUCGCUAUAGAUCGUACGCAGUGAUUUCUGGCGGCGGAUAACGACACCGAAUAAUAUAUUGUAUUGACGCCG
Molecule: non-coding RNA, 389 nt
Organism: Cinara cedri
Lineage: Eukaryota; Metazoa; Arthropoda; Insecta; Hemiptera; Aphididae
Source: the annotation of a GenBank genome assembly